This 253-nucleotide ribosomal RNA is filed under the name uncultured bacterium. Its description in RNAcentral is "partial 16S ribosomal RNA". It matches the Rfam family "Bacterial small subunit ribosomal RNA", at positions 524 to 776 of the family's 1533-position model. The record is from RNAcentral.
UACGUAGGUCGCAAGCGUUGUCCGGAUUUACUGGGCGUAAAGAGCGCGCAGGCGGCUGGUCAAGUCCGAUGUGAAAUCUCCCGGCUCAACUGGGAAACUGCAUCGGAAACUGAUCGGCUUGAAGAUGGGAGAGGGUAGUGGAAUUCCCGGUGUAGUGGUGAAAUGCGUAGAGAUCGGGAGGAACACCCGUGGCGAAGGCGGCUCACUGGGCUGACCUUGACGCUGAGGCGCGAAGGCGUGGGGAGCGAACGGG